This 253-nucleotide ribosomal RNA is filed under the name uncultured bacterium. RNAcentral's name for it is "partial 16S ribosomal RNA". It matches the Rfam family "Bacterial small subunit ribosomal RNA", at positions 524 to 776 of the family's 1533-position model. The record is from RNAcentral.
UACGGAGGGGGCCAGCGUUGUCCGAAGUUACUGGGCGUAAAGCGCGCGUAGGCGGGUGCCUAAGUCUGCUGUGAAAGCCCGAAGCUCAACUUCGGAGGGUCGGUGGAUACUGGGCGCCUUGAAGGGACUAGGGAGAAGUGGAAUGACCGGUGUAGCGGUGAAAUGCGUAGAGCUCGGUCGGAACACCAGUGGCGAAGGCGGCUUCUUGGGGUCCUCUUGACGCUGAGGCGCGAAAGCUGGGGGAGCGAACGGG